GGGGCAUGUGCUCGACCCAAUCUAUUUAUCUUCUCUUGUGCACCAUUUGUAGUCUUUUGAAGGUUAGAAAGAGUGAACUCUCGCAGCAAUGCGGUUUGGGUGGUCUGAAGCGUAACAAGCUUCAACCCGCCUGCUCGCUUUCUCUCUUUUGAAGGCUAUGUUUUCAUAUACACUAUACAAAGUCAUAGAAUGUCAAUUAACGAUUGUGCUUAGUCGCAGUCAUUAAACCUAUACAACUUUCAGCAACGGAUCUCUUGGCUCUCCCAUCGAUGAAGAACGCAGCGAAAUGCGAUAAGUAAUGUGAAUUGCAGAAUUCAGUGAAUCAUCGAAUCUUUGAACGCACCUUGCGCCCUUUGGUAUUCCGAAGGGCAUGCCUGUUUGAGUGUCAUUAUAUUCUCAACCCAAAGGCUUUUUAUUAAGCGUUUGUGGCUUGGACGUGGGGGUUUUGCUGGCUUCCUUCAGUGGAUGGUCUGCUCCUCUUAAAUGCAUUAGCGGGAUCUCUUGUUGACCGUCACUUGGUGUGAUAACUAUCUAUGCCACUUGACUAGUAAGCAAAUCUUAUGGGAAUCCGCUCAUAACCGUCUCUUCACUGGGACAACUUUUUGACAUCUUGACCUCAAAUCAGGUAGGACUACCCGCUGAACUUAAGCAUAUCAAUAAGCGGAGGA
This 668-nucleotide ribosomal RNA is filed under the name uncultured Agaricales. Its description in RNAcentral is "eukaryotic LSU rRNA". The stretch from base 235 to 388 matches the Rfam family "5.8S ribosomal RNA". Lineage: Eukaryota; Fungi; Basidiomycota; Agaricomycetes; Agaricales. The record is from RNAcentral.